GAACUCGGCAAAAUUACCUCGUAACUUCGGAAGAAGAGGUACCCCUUCACGGGGGUUGCAAUAGAUUGACCCUGGCGACUGUUUACCAAAAACACAGGUCUCCGCUAAUUCGUAAGAAAAAGUAUGGGGGCUGACGCCUGCCAGUGCCGGAAGGUUAAAGAAGUUGGUUAGUCCUUGGACAAAGCUAGCGACUGAAGCCCCGGUGAACGGCGGCCGUAACAAUAACGGUCCUAAGGUAGCGAAAUUCCUUGUCGGGUAAGUUCCGACCCGCACGAAAGGCGUAACGAUCAGGGUACUGUCUCGGAGAGAGGCUCGGCGAAAUAGACAUGUCUGUGAAGAUGCGGACUACCUGCACCUGGACAGAAAGACCCUAUGAAGCUUUACUGUAUCUUGGAAUUGGGUUUGGUCUUUGCAUGCGCAGUAUAGGUGGGAGGCUUUGAAGAUGAUCUUGCGGGGUCGUUGGAGCCACUGGUGGGAUACCACCCUUGCAAUGAUAAAAUCCUAACUUUGAACCGUUAUCCGGUCAAAGAACAGUUUCAGGUGGGCAGUUUGACUGGGGCGGUCGCCUCCUAAAAGGUAACGGAGGCGUGCAAAGGUUCCCUCAGGCUGGUUGGACAUCAGUCGUAGAGUGUAAAGGCAUAAGGGAGCUUGACUGCGAGACCAACAAGUCGAGCAGAGACGAGAGUCGGCCUUAGUGAUCCGGCGCUUCCGAGUGGAAGGGGCGUCGCUCAACGGAUAAAAGUUACUCUAAGGAUAACAGGCUGAUCUCCCCCAAGAGUUCACAUCGACGGGGAGGUUUGGCACCUCGAUGUCGGCUCAUCGCAUCCUGGGGCGGUAGUACGUCCCAAGGGCUGGGCUGUUCGCCCAUGAAAGCGGUACGCGAGCUGGGUUCAGAACGUCGUGAGACAGUUCGGUCCAUAUCCGGUGCAGGCGUUAGAGUAUUGCGAAGACUCCUCCUUAGUACGAGAGGACCGGGGGGAAUGCACCGCUGGUGUACCAGUUAUCGUGCCAACGGUAAACGCUGGGUAGCCAAGUGCAGUUUGGAUAACUGCUGAAAGCAUCUAAGUAGGAAGCCAGCUUCAAGAUGAGUACUCUCACCGCUUCAAGCGGGUAAGAUCACGGCAAGAACAGCCGUUUGAUAGGCAUCAAGUGUAAGUGCAGUAAUGUAUUCAGCUGAGAUGUACUAAUAGAUCGAGGGCUUAU
This 1203-nucleotide ribosomal RNA is filed under the name metagenome. RNAcentral describes it as "bacterial LSU rRNA". It matches the Rfam family "Bacterial large subunit ribosomal RNA", at positions 1710 to 2925 of the family's 2925-position model. The record is from RNAcentral.